This 869-nucleotide ribosomal RNA is filed under the name uncultured archaeon. Its description in RNAcentral is "bacterial SSU rRNA". It matches the Rfam family "Archaeal small subunit ribosomal RNA", at positions 1 to 878 of the family's 1478-position model. The record is from RNAcentral.
UUCCGGUUGAUCCUGCCGGACCUGACUGCUAUCGGAUUGGUACUAAGCCAUGCGAGUCGUUGUAGCAAUACAAGGCGGACGGCUCAGUAACACGUAGUCAACCUAACCUAUGGACGUGGAUAACCUCGGGAAACUGAGAAUAAACCGCGAUAGAUCAUUAUGCCUGGAAUGGCUUAUGGUUCAAACAAUUUAUUGCCGUAGGAUGGGACUGCGGCCUAUCAGCUUGUUGGUGAGGUAAUGGCCCACCAAGGCUAUAACAGGUACGGGCUCUGAGAGGAGAAGCCCGGAGAUGGGUACUGAGACACGGACCCAGGCCCUAUGGGGCGCAGCAGGCGAGAAACCUUAGCAAUGUGCGAAAGCACGACUAGGUUAAUCCGAGUGAUUUCUGUUGAAGAAAUCUUUUGUCAGUCGUAAAACCACAGACGAAUAAGGGGUGGGCAAGUCUGGUGUCAGCCGCCGCGGUAAUACCAGCACCUCGAGUGGUCAGGAGGUUUAUUGGGCCUAAAGCAUCCGUAGCCGGCUACGCAAGUCUCCGGUUAAAUCCAGCUGCUCAACAGAUGGGCUGCCGGAGAUACUACAUAGCUAGGGAGCGGGAGAGGUAGACGGUAUUCUGUGGGUAGGGGUAAAAUCCUCUGAUCCAUCGAGGACCACCAGUGGCGAAGGCGGUCUGCCAGAACACGUUCGACGGUGAGGGAUGAAAGCUGGGGGAGCAAACCGGAUUAGAUACCCGGGUAGUCCCAGCUGUAAACGAUGCAAACUCGGUGAUGCAUUGGCUUAUGGCCAAUGCAGUGCCGCAGGGAAGCCGUUAAGUUUGCCGCCUGGGAAGUACGGACGCAAGUCUGAAACUUAAAGGAAUUGGCGGGGGAGCA